RNAcentral lists this long non-coding RNA (235 nucleotides) under Linum usitatissimum (flax). Its description in RNAcentral is "long non-coding RNA (LUSI_LNC000414)". The record is from RNAcentral. Lineage: Eukaryota; Viridiplantae; Streptophyta; Magnoliopsida; Malpighiales; Linaceae.
GGUGGGAAGUUGCUGGAUUUGGCGAAUUUACGACAAGUAUGGUUGGAGAAGGAUUCGUGCAGGACAAUUCCCUUCACGCGGGUAAGAAUCGUCAUCAGUGCUACGCAGGUGUUGGUCAUCAGUCCUGCCCUUUCCAAGAUUUCACCCAUGGUAACACUACAAGAAAAGCGUGAUUUCGUGUCGUUCGUUUCUGUUCUUAUGUUAAUUUUAUCAUGUUAAGAUACAGAUGUCCUUC